GGCUGUUGAAGACCUGCUUGGCCACAGCCAUGGCCUUGGAGAAGUUGCGCUUUCCCUGCUCGUCGAUGACGUCCUUCCCCGAAUAGUACCAAUAGAAAUCGCUGAUGGACUCCUGCAGGCGCAGCAGGUAAUCCACGGUGCAGAUGAUGAUGUUGAUGGUGGUGGUGUUGCCCGUCUGCGUGCGGAGGUAGUUCUGGAAGUCGUUGUUGUGCCCCUCGCACAGCAGCUGCAGCAGCCGGAACAGAUCCUGCGUGAACUCAUCGUCCGACAUCACCUUCUCCCC
RNAcentral lists this long non-coding RNA (283 nucleotides) under Gallus gallus (chicken). Lineage: Eukaryota; Metazoa; Chordata; Aves; Galliformes; Phasianidae. The record is from RNAcentral.